GAUGAACGCUAGCGGCAGGCCUAACACAUGCAAGUCGAGGGAGAAGCCCUUCGGGGCAGAAACCGGCGCACGGGUGCGUAACGCGUAUGCAACCUACCUUUCACAGGGGGAUAGCCCGAAGAAAUUUGGAUUAAUACCCCAUAAUAUUAUUGGAUGGCAUCAUUUGAUAAUUAAAAUUACGAUGGUGAAAGAUGGGCAUGCGUCCUAUUAGCUAGUUGGAGUGGUAACGGCACCCCAAGGCUACGAUAGGUAGGGGUCCUGAGAGGGAGAUCCCCCACACUGGUACUGAGACAGGGACCAGACUCUUACGGGAGGCAGCAGUGAGGAAUAUUGGUCAAUGGUCGGAAGACUGAACCAGCCAUGCCGCGUGCAGGAAGAAUGCCUUAUGGGUUGUAAACUGCUUUUAUAUGGGAAGAAUAAGGAGUA
This 426-nucleotide ribosomal RNA is filed under the name Capnocytophaga granulosa. Its description in RNAcentral is "bacterial SSU rRNA". It matches the Rfam family "Bacterial small subunit ribosomal RNA", at positions 28 to 458 of the family's 1533-position model. Lineage: Bacteria; Pseudomonadati; Bacteroidota; Flavobacteriia; Flavobacteriales; Flavobacteriaceae. The record is from RNAcentral.